ACAGAUGCAGUAUUCAAGGGAACACAUUAUUCUUAUUCAUUCUACAGUAGUACAAUACAAAUGGUGAAGAAAACAGUAAAUGUAUACAAAUGUGACGGAGAGAAUCUACAAACAUGCAACAACAAUCCCUUCGUGUCCCACAGACAAUAUGAGAUUCAGCGUAUCAAAGUCUGCCUGUGAUUCAGGAAAGCGAAGGCCGUUUCAAAAGCUCGUCUCUUAUUUCUAUACCGAGCAGCUUCACUGGGCUCAGAUAAGUGACUUCUCUUACUUUUUCACAACACACAAAAGGUAAUCCGUGCAGUACUCCAGCCACCAAUGGAGACAGUGACCGAGACCACCAAAGUGUAUGUCAGGUCGUUCUGAGGAACACAAUGACGCAUUGAGUGCGGCUUCAUGAAGUGAGAAAGGGAGUAAAAAGACAGUGAUGUCCAUAGUUAUUCCCUGAAAGAAAAGCUCUGGGCAUCUGGGUGUUUAGAGUCCAAACUAAAGGCCACAGACAGGAGGGGAAUGGAUGGGGUCAUCGCUCUGAACAAAGAGGGAAGCGAGCUGGUGAUUGGGUUCGUCUUUGUGCCGUUGACCCCGAGUCUCAUUCUGUAUCUUGAGCUUUGAGGACGAUUCCACAAAGGCUCCAUGAAACCUUCAUCUUUUGUAUUGCUUUCGUUUUCGAAAACCGCACGUGAAUUCACACGCUGUCAGAAACCAAUCGUGGGUACUUUGUGGGCAUCAACCCGUUAGACAGAAUAAUCAUCAGAAAUGGGAUCCAUUCAGUGUAAAAAAUCAUGGCAAAUUUGUAUGUAACAUUUCCGAGUUAGACAAGACAUUCAAUGAGAAUGAGAAAUAUAAAUCAAAACUUAAUCCAUCAGGGAUUAACUAAAUCAUCUACUGUAGGGCGGUUUCUCGGACAGGGAUUAGACUAGUCCUAGACUAAAAUAAAUGCACUGACAUAUCUUAAAAUACAUCAUUGCACUUUGUUUUGCUUCAAAAUGCACAGAAGUAAUGCUUUUAUGGAAGGCAUGUUUGUUAAAACUAUAUUUCCUAAUUAAAAUAAGGCCUAGUCCUGGCUUAAGAUAAUCCCUGUCUGGAAAACCGCCCCAUAGGGGAGGUUUCCCAGACAGGUUUUAUCCUAGUCUCAGAUUAAAAUACAUGUUUGAGAUGCCUGAACAUCUUGUUUAAAAACAUCUUGUACUAACACAUUAUAAAAUAUAUCCGUGCUGUUGUUUUGUCUCAAGAUGCACACCAGUAUUGUUUUUUUUUUGUAAGGUAGGCUUGUAAAAACAACCAAAAUGUGCAACCCAGUCUCAUGGCAAGUCACGGCAAGUCAUGUUAUAGUAACGAAAUUUUGAUGACACAAUUUUCAGCUGUUUUUCGUGUCU
Molecule: long non-coding RNA, 1373 nt
Organism: Paramisgurnus dabryanus
Lineage: Eukaryota; Metazoa; Chordata; Actinopteri; Cypriniformes; Cobitidae
Source: RefSeq, a predicted model, not a curated record